This 274-nucleotide ribosomal RNA is filed under the name uncultured bacterium. Its description in RNAcentral is "partial 16S ribosomal RNA". It matches the Rfam family "Bacterial small subunit ribosomal RNA", at positions 523 to 796 of the family's 1533-position model. The record is from RNAcentral.
AUACGGAGGGAGCGAGCGUUAAUCGGAAUUACUGGGCGUAAAGCGCGCGUAGGCGGCUUUGUAAGUCGGAUGUGAAAGCCCUGGGCUCAACCCAGGAAUUGCAUUCGAUACUGCAGAACUAGAGUAUGGUAGAGGGAAGUGGAAUUUCCGGUGUAGCGGUGAAAUGCGUAGAUAUAGGAAGGAACACCAGUGGCGAAGGCGACUUCCUGGGCCAAUACUGACGCUGAGGUGCGAAAGCGUGGGGAGCAAACAGGAUUAGAAACCCCGGUAGUCC